GACGAACGCUGGCGGCGUGCUUAACACAUGCAAGUCGAACGGAAAGGCCCUGCUUUUGUGGGGUGCUCGAGUGGCGAACGGGUGAGUAACACGUGAGUAACCUGCCCUUGACUUUGGGAUAACUUCAGGAAACUGGGGCUAAUACCGGAUAGGAGCUCCUGCUGCAUGGUGGGGGUUGGAAAGUUUCGGCGGUUGGGGAUGGACUCGCGGCUUAUCAGCUUGUUGGUGGGGUAGUGGCUUACCAAGGCUUUGACGGGUAGCCGGCCUGAGAGGGUGACCGGCCACAUGGGGACUGAGAUACGGCCCAGACUGCUACGGGAGGCAGCAGUGGGGAAUAUUGCACAAUGGGCGGAAGCCUGAUGCAGAAACGCCGCGUGCGGGAUGACGGCCUUCGGGUUGUAAACCGCUUUCGCCUGUGACGAAGCGUGAGUGACGGUAAUGGGUAAAGAAGCACCGGCUAACUACGUG
Molecule: ribosomal RNA, 468 nt
Filed under: uncultured bacterium
Lineage: Bacteria
Description: partial 16S ribosomal RNA
Rfam family: Bacterial small subunit ribosomal RNA
Source: RNAcentral